CCAGCGCGUGCCCGCCCGGCGCCCUCUAGGGUGGAAGGCUGCGGGCGUCCUACCAGUGCCAGGACUGCCAGAGCGGGAGGAGCGCGGCGCGGGCCAGCCGGGACUGCUGGACAGCGGGGUCCAGGCUAGAGGCGAGCGAGCGGUCAGUGACGGCUGUGGAGGAGGGAGGCGCUGGGCGUCAGCGCGGGACCCGAGCCUCUGGACCACUGAGCUGGGGGGCUGGCUGAGGUCCACCUCCUAACAAAUUAUUGGAAGGAAUAUGAGAAAAAUGGAGUUUCACUCUUGUCACCCAGGCUGGAGUGCAAUAGAGCGAUCAUGGCUCACUGCAACCUCUGCCCCCCGGGUUCAAGCGAUUCUCCUGCCUCAGCCUCUCAAGUAGCUGGGAUUACAAGUGCCCACCACCACGCCCAGCUAAUUUUUGUAUUUUUAGUAAAGAUGGGGUUUCACCACAUUGGCCAGGCUGGUCUCUAACUCCUGACCUCACGUGAUUCAUCCAUCUCAGCCUCCCAAAGUGCUGGGAUUACAGGCAUGAGCCACUGUGCCUGGCCUAUACUUAUAUUUUCUUCUGUGAUUUUAAUAUUUUAGUGUUUAUGUUUUGGUCUAUGAUCCAUUUUGAGUAAAUUUUUAUAUUUGGUAUAAGGUAGGGGUCCAACUUUAUUUAUUUUUGAGAUGGAGGCUUACUCUAUUGCCCAGGCAGGCAUGCAAUGGUGCGAUCCAGCUCACUGCAACCUCUGUGUCCCAGGCUCAAGUGAUUCUCCCACCUCAGCCAUCUGAGUAGCUCGGAUUACAGGCCCCAUCACUAUGGUAAUUUUUAAAUUUUUAGUAGAGACGGGGUUUCACCAUGUUGGCCAGGCUGGUCUCGAACUCAUGACCUCAAGUGAUCUGCCCGCCUCUGCCCUACAAAGUGCUGGGAUUACAGGCGUGAGCCACCGUGCCUGGCCUCCAGCUUUAUUCUUUUUUUUUUUUUUUUUUUGAGACAGAGUCUUGUUCUGUCACCCAGGCUGGAGUGCUGGAGUGCAGUGGCGCGAUCUCGGCUCACUGCAAGCUCCGCCUCCUGGGUUCACGCCAUUCUCCUGCCUCAGCCUCCCGAGUAGCUGGGACUACAGGCGCCUGCCACCACGCCUGGCUAAUUUUUUGUAUUUUUAGUAGAGAUGGGGUUUCUCCAUGUUAGCCAGGAUGGUCUCGAUCUCCUGACCUCGUGGUCUGCCUGCCUCGGCCUCCCAAAAGUGCUGGGAUUACAGGCGUGAGCGACCAUGCCCGGCCAACUUUAUUCUUUUAGAUGUGGAUGUCUAGUUGUUCCAGAAGUAUCUGUUAAAAAUGUUACUCUUUCUCCAUUGGAUUAUUUUGGCAACCUUAUAAACAAUCAAUUGACCAU
This 1375-nucleotide long non-coding RNA is filed under the name Homo sapiens (human). RNAcentral's name for it is "non-protein coding EP300-AS1:1". Lineage: Eukaryota; Metazoa; Chordata; Mammalia; Primates; Hominidae. The record is from RNAcentral.